UUGGAGGGCAAGUCUGGUGCCAGCAGCCGCGGUAAUUCCAGCUCCAAUAGCGUAUAUUAAAGUUGUUGCAGUUAAAAAGCUCGUAGUUGAAUUUCGGGAUCAAUAUAUCGGUCGUGCCAUUGGUACGUACUGGUAUCAUUGGUUUCUCCUUUCUGACGAACCAUGAUGUCAUUAAUUUGGUGUUAUGGGAAGUUAGGACUGUUACUUUGAAAAAAUUAGAGUGUUUAAAGCAGGCUUUGGCUUGAAUACAUUAGCAUGGAAUAAUGAAAUAGGACGUUCGAACCUAUUUUGUUGGUUUCUAGGAUCAACGUAAUGAUUAAUAGGGAUAGUUGGGGGCAUUAGUAUUCAAUUGUCAGAGGUGAAAUUCUUGGAUUUAUUGAAGACUAACUACUGCGAAAGCAUUUGCCAAGGAUGUUUUCAUUAAUCAAGAACGAAAGUUAGGGGAUCGAAGACGAUCAGAUACCGUCGUAGUCUUAACCAUAAACUAUGCCGACUAGGGAUCGGAUGAUGUUAAUUUUUUAAUGACUCAUUCGGCGCCUUACGGGAAAC
RNAcentral lists this ribosomal RNA (549 nucleotides) under uncultured Glomus. RNAcentral describes it as "SSU rRNA". It matches the Rfam family "Eukaryotic small subunit ribosomal RNA", at positions 548 to 1098 of the family's 1831-position model. Lineage: Eukaryota; Fungi; Glomeromycota; Glomeromycetes; Glomerales; Glomeraceae. The record is from RNAcentral.